This 505-nucleotide ribosomal RNA is filed under the name uncultured Oscillospiraceae bacterium. Its description in RNAcentral is "bacterial SSU rRNA". It matches the Rfam family "Bacterial small subunit ribosomal RNA", at positions 8 to 507 of the family's 1533-position model. The record is from RNAcentral. Lineage: Bacteria; Bacillati; Bacillota; Clostridia; Eubacteriales; Oscillospiraceae.
AGAGUUUGAUCCUGGCUCAGGAUGAACGCUGGCGGCGUGCCUAACACAUGCAAGUCGAACGAAGUUACUUGCUUAGAUCUCUUCGGAGUGACGAGCUUUUAACUUAGUGGCGGACGGGUGAGUAACACGUGAGCAACCUGCCUUUCAGAGGGGGAUAACGGCUGGAAACGGUCGCUAAUACCGCAUGAUAUAUUGAAUCGGCAUCGGUUUGAUAUCAAAGGAGCAAUCCGCUGAAAGAUGGGCUCGCGUCUGAUUAGAUAGUUGGUGGGGUAACGGCCUACCAAGUCGACGAUCAGUAGCCGGACUGAGAGGUUGAACGGCCACAUUGGGACUGAGAUACGGCCCAGACUCCUACGGGAGGCAGCAGUGGGGAAUAUUGCACAAUGGGGGAAACCCUGAUGCAGCAACGCCGCGUGAAGGAAGACGGUUUUCGGAUUGUAAACUUCUUUUCUUAGUGAAGAAGAAAGUGACGGUAGCUAAGGAAUAAGCAUCGGCUAACUACGUG